RNAcentral lists this long non-coding RNA (3348 nucleotides) under Canis lupus familiaris (dog). RNAcentral's name for it is "lncRNA (ENSCAFG00000056302.1)". The record is from RNAcentral. Lineage: Eukaryota; Metazoa; Chordata; Mammalia; Carnivora; Canidae.
UUUUUUUUUUUCACUUUUACCUGAAAUAUCUUUAUCUAUCUCUUCAAUUUAAGUCUGUAUGUGUCCCUAGGUCUGAAGUGAUUCUCUUGCAGACUGCAAAAAGACCAAGAUUUAUUUUGGGGUUUUUUUAGUUCAUUCAGUUACCCUAUGUCUUUUGAAUGAAGCACUUACUCCAUUUACAUUUAAAGUAAAUAUUGAUAGAUAUAUCCUUAUUGCCCUUCUGUUAUUUUAUGGUUGUUUGUGUAAGAUCUUCUCUUUUCCUCUCUUCUUCUCUUGUUCUCUUCCCCCUUGUGAGUUCAUGAGUUUCCUUAAUGUUAUACUUAGAUUGCUUUCUCUUUAUUUUUCGUGUAUCCAUUACAGGUUUUUAGUUACUAUGAGGCUCAUAUAUAAUAUCCUGUGUAUAUAGCAGUCUAUGUAUUAAGAUGGUGGUUGCUUAAAGUUCAAGUACAUUCCAAAAACACUGGAUUUUUACUACCCCCACACAUACCUUCUGUAUAUAUUGUCAUGUUUUACAUAUUCUUAUGUAUCCCUUAACACAUUUUUGUUGAUUUUACUACUUUUAUCCUUUAAACUUCAUACUACUUUCAUCCUUUAAACCUCACUAUAAUUACUAGGGAAAGUUGUCUUUUCAUAAUUUCCUUACUUCCCUAGUUAUGGUCUUUUCUUUUCUGCUUAAAGAAGUCCCUUUUAUAUUUCUUGUAAGUUUAGGUUGUUUUGUUAUUGUUGUAGUUUAAGGUUAGUGAUGAUGAACUCCUUUAAUUUUUGAUCAUCUAGAAACUCUCUCUCCUUCAACUCUGAAUAUCUUUUCUGGGUAGACAUUCCUAGUUUUAGGUUUUUUCCUUUCACUUUAGAAUGUAUCAUGCCACUCCGUUCCAGCUUGCAAAGUUUUUGCAAAAAAUAAACAAACUGAUAGCCUUAUUGAGUUUCCUUUAUACCUAGCUACUUGUUUUUCUCUUACUGCUUUUAAGAUUCUCUCCUUACCUUUAAUUUUUGAUGUUUUAUUUUUCACAUGUCUUGAUGUAGACUUUCCUGGGUUCAUCUUAUUUGGAGUUCUCCCUGCUUCCUGGGCCUGAAUGUCUGCUUUUCCCUCUAGUUUAGCAAAGUGUACAGCUAUUAUUUCUUCAAACACACUUUCUGCCUCUGUCUGUUUUCCUUCUGAGGCCCCUAUAAUGCAAGUGUUAGUAUGUUGGUGUAUUCCCAGAAGCCCCUUAACCUAUCCUCAAAUUUUUCAUUAUUUCUUCUUUUCAGCUUGGGUUCUUCCCAUUACCCCAUCUUCCAGAUUGCUGAUCUGUUGGUCUGCAUGCUCUAAUCUACCGUUGAUUACUUUCGAAUAUAUUUUUCAUCUUAGUUACUAUAUUCUUCAGCUCUGGUUGGUUUUUUUUUUCCUUUCUCUCUCUCUCUGUUGAAGUCCUCACUGAGUUUAUCCACUCUUUUCUCAAGUUCGGUGAGUAUCUUAACUUUGAACUCUUUUUCAGGUAGACUGCUUACCUAUCUUUCAUUUUUGUCUUUCAUUUGAAACAUACUCCUUUGUCUCAUUUUGUGGGACUGUUUCUACACAGGUAGGUAGGUCAGCUAGAUCUCCUGAUCUUAAAAGUAGUGGCUUUAUACAGAAGGUGUCCUGUGGUGCUCAAGAGCACAAUCUCUCCCCUUGUCACUAGACCAUGCACUCCAGGGUGUCCCCUGUGUGGACUGCAUUGAACCCUGUUCUGAUUGUGCUGCAACUGCCAUGGGCACUUAGUGGACUGGGCUGGUCCUCAGACUGGGUGUCUGCAAUGACCAGCCAAAACCAUUAUGGGUGCACUGGUUAACAGGCAUGGCUGGCUGAGAGGCCCAAUUCUAGCUGCUGCACACAUGAUAACAUGGGGGGCCAGCCACCAGAGAGGAGUAUUGGAUAUUAGUGCUGGCUCCCCACCUCCCUGACAGGAGUAGGUUUGGAGGGGUGCCAGUCCCAGCUGCGGCUGCUCACCAAAUGUGGCAGGGUGGUAUUUGCUUUGAGUGGAUACUAGUCCCCAUGGAGGCUACCUGUCAGCUAUGGCAGGGCAGGAGCUGUUUUGCUGGGGUAUCUGCUGUGACAGAAGGGUUUGAGUGGGACAAGUCUGCAGGGGAACACCAGGGUUGGGCAAGCAAUGCCAACAACACAGAUGGAGAGUGUCAGAACCCCAACCAGUGUCCAGCCAGCGAGGAAGGAAGGUAAGAAAAACAGCACCUGCCAGCACUCUGUUCUUACAGAAAGCUCCCACAGAUCCUUGUCCCUCUAGUACACACUCUAAAAUUAAUCAGUAAAUCUCCUUCACAUUUAAUUAACCCUGGCACUUUUCAAACUACUUUUUGAGCUGGAUCUCCACUGAGUGAUACAACACACUGACCCUCUGUUUCCUGCAGCCCUCCAGCUACCCCAGGAUUAAGUCACUGAUUUUUAAAGCCAGACAUUAUGGGGGUUCAUCUUGUCAAUGCAGAUCUCUAAGGCAGAUCUCUAAUGCCUAAUGUGGAGCUUGAUCCCCUGCCACCUCAGGGAGGACCUUCAAGAGUCUCUAUAAUGGCUCUCCCACUUGUAGGUCGUCACACUGGGGGUCUGGAUCCCAAUCACAUCUGGCUUCUUCUACUAUUCUAAAUGUGGCUUCCUCUUUGUGUCUUUAGCUGUGGAAGAUCUGCUCUGCUGGUUGUAUUUCACCUAACUGUUGCUUCAUGGUGUGUCUAUGGGAAGAAGUGAGCUCAGGAUCCUCCUACUCUGCCAUCUUCCCCUGCUCUCUAAUAUCAAGUAUCCUUUAAGUUUCCAAGACUGAGUGCUUUUAAAAAUACAGAGAGGAUGCUUUUUAACUUUAUGGCAAAUUUAAGACACAGGAUAAUUAUUUAAAUGUAAAGAUAUGAUUUAUUGCCCAACUACUGCCUAAAAGGGUAUCAGCAGCUUCUAAGAGACCUUGUACAAACAAUUAGGCCAUUAAAAUAUAAAAUGAAAAGUAAACCCAGAAAACAAUGGUUCUUUAUCUUAACGGCAAAGAGUGGAGGUCACUAAGCAUUUGAUAAAAGCCAAAGAUACUCCACCAGAUUGUCAUAUGCACAAAAACAAUUUUACCUAUCAUUUCAGAGGGUGAUGGUGAUACACAGAGAGGGGAUUAAAAACUCCUGCCACAGAGAACUAGAAAAGAAAUUUUCCAUCCAAAAGCCUAGACUAAUAAAGUUACUGUAAUUAAAAUGAAAUCUAACUCCAAACUUCCUUGCAGCCCAAGCAAAUAAAAAACAUGAUGGGCUAAAUAAUUCUCAAUGGCUAAUAGAAGGAAGUGUGCUAGGUCGUAAGGAAACUUUUGUCUAAACUAAAUCUUCAAAGAAUUUGUCACAUGAAUUCUUAUA